CUUGCUUCUUGGGGUUGUAGGACACUCUAUACGGAGUUACAAAAGAAAGUUAUAAAUGAAGCGGUCUGGAAAGGCCCGCCAAAGACGGUAACAGCCCGGUAGUUGAAAUGGCUUUCCCUCCAGAGUGGAUCCUGAGUACGGCGGAACACGUGAAAUUCCGUCGGAAUCCGGGAGGACCAUCUCCCAAGGCUAAAUACUCCCUAGUGACCGAUAGUGAACCAGUACCGUGAGGGAAAGGUGAAAAGCACCCCGGAAGGGGAGUGAAACAGUUCCUGAAACCGUGUGCCUACAAGUAGUUAGAGCCCGUUAAUGGGUGAUAGCGUGCCUUUUGUAGAAUGAACCGGCGAGUUACGAUUUGUUGCAAGGUUAAGCGGAAAAAGCGGAGCCGUAGCGAAAGCGAGUCUGAAUAGGGCGCAUAAGUAACAGGUCGUAGACCCGAAACCAGGUGAUCUACCCAUGUCCAGGAUGAAGGUAAGGUAAUACUUACUGGAGGUCCGAACCCACGCACGUUGAAAAGUGCGGGGAUGAGGUGUGGGUAGCGGAGAAAUUCCAAUCGAACUUGGAGAUAGCUGGUUCUCUCCGAAAUAGCUUUAGGGCUAGCCUCGAGGUAAAGAGUCAUGGAGGUAGAGCACUGUUUGGACUAGGGGCCCUUCUCGGGUUACCGAAUUCAGAUAAACUCCGAAUGCCAUGUACUUAUACUCGGGAGUCAGACUGCGAGUGAUAAGAUCCGUAGUCGAAAGGGAAACAGCCCAGACCACCAGUUAAGGUCCCCAAAUAUAUGUUAAGUGGAAAAGGAUGUGGGGUUGCUUAGACAACCAGGAUGUUGGCUUAGAAGCAGCCACCAUUGAAAGAGUGCGUAAUAGCUCACUGGUCGAGUGACCCCGCGCCGAAAAUGUACCGGGGCUAAACAUAUUAC
Molecule: ribosomal RNA, 916 nt
Filed under: Listeria monocytogenes
Lineage: Bacteria; Bacillati; Bacillota; Bacilli; Caryophanales; Listeriaceae
Description: partial 23S ribosomal RNA
Rfam family: Bacterial large subunit ribosomal RNA
Source: RNAcentral